Molecule: RNA transcript, 4986 nt
Organism: Callorhinchus milii (elephant shark)
Lineage: Eukaryota; Metazoa; Chordata; Chondrichthyes; Chimaeriformes; Callorhinchidae
Gene name: deleted in malignant brain tumors 1 protein-like
Exons: 8
Source: RefSeq, a predicted model, not a curated record
AUUUGGGGAUCACUUAGCUCAGUGUGCAGCGAUCGCCGCCAAAGCUAAACCUGAGAUCUCCUCCGUGUGUUGUUUCCAAGUGUACGGAUGCCCCCCUCACAUCCAAUUUCCGACACAGAUACAAGCUUCAAUACUUUUACCCUCAGCAGCACUUCACCAUCCUCAGGAUGAAGCCAUUAUAUUUCUUCAAUUUAUGUUUCAUGAUAAUUCUGGAGAGGAAGACGGUGGAAUGUGCAGAGAAUGCGAGCGUGAGGCUGGUGAAUGGCGGCAGCCCGUGUGCUGGGAGAGUGGAGGUUUACCACAGAGGGCAAUGGGGCACAGUGGGUGGCUAUGGCAAGAGCUAUUUGUAUUACACAUGGAAUAUGAAGGCCGCGGCUGUGGUAUGUUUGGAGUUGGGCUGCGGAGCCGCGCUCUCAGCCUCAAUGGGAUCUCCCUUUGGGAGUGGAUCAGGAGUCGUUGUGACGUGUGAUGUCCGCUGCAAAGGGAGCGAGUCUGCGCUGCGGGAAUGUCCCUCAUGGACCUGGGAUCACCACCGCUGGUCCCACUCUACUGAUGUCGGUGUCAUCUGCUCAGGAGGUAAUCCCCUAGACUGGUGAAUGGAAGCAGCCAUUGUGUGGGGAGAGUAGAGCUGUACACCAAGGAGUCUUGGGGGACAGUUUGUGGCGAGACUCUCAACAUGAAGAUUGCAGGUGACAUUUGUAGAUAUCUAGGAUGUGGAUCUGCAGUAUCAGCAUCAGGUGACGCUCGAUUUGGAGAAGGCUUGGGGCCUGUGAUUGGUCGGCCUGACUGUGGACACGGAAAGGAUGGUGGCAUAAUCUGUUCAGGAGGCAAUCCCCCCAGACUGGUCAAUGGAAGCAGCCGAUGUGCGGGGAGAGUAGAGCUGCAUACAAAGGACACUUGGGGGACACUUUGCGGCGAGAACUUGAACAUGAAGAUUGCAGAAGAUAUUUGUAAAUACUUGGGAUGUGGAUUUGCUCUGUCAGCCUCAGGUAGCGCUCGCUUUGGAGAAGGAUUGGGGCCUGUGAUUGGUCGGCCUGACUGCGGACACGGACAGGAUGGUGGCGUAUUCUGUUCAGGAGGUAAACCACCCAGACUGGUGAAUGGAAGCAGUCGCUGUGUGGGGAGAGUAGAACUGUACACCAAUGACACUUGGGGCACAGUUUGUGGCGAGACACUGGACAUGAAGAUUGCAGAAGAUAUUUGUACAUAUCUAGAAUGUGGAUUUGCUGUAUCAGCCUCAGGUGGCGGUCGCUUUGGCGAAGGAUCGGGGCCUGUGGUUGGUCGGCCUGACUGCGGACACAGAGAGGCCGGUGGAAUAUUUUGCUCAGAUCAUCUCCAGAAGCCCAACAUUUCCAUGAUGUCAGACGCCCAGGUGAUUGUGCGAGGGGAAAGUGCUGAAAUUCAUGUUCUGGGAAUUAUCCUGGCUGCAAUUUCUCUUUGUAUAGCGAUGGCGCGUUUAUCACAUCACAACCAGCUCCGGAACAUAACAAGACAGCAAUUUUCAUCGUAUCCGAGAUCAGUGCAGGAAAUUUCUGGUGUAAAUAUACUGCACAUAUAGAUGGCCGAGAGUUCACAUCACCAGAGAGCGAGCGAUUGGGAAUCUCUGUGUCUGGUUCCUUGAAUACUCAGGGAAUUGCGAACCUUGCCCGCCUCAUCUUGGUGAUUGCAUUGUCUCUGGUAAUUAUUGUUCUGCUCGUGGUUCAAUUCCGAACAAUAAAAAAGGACAGCAGUCAGAAAAGGAUUAUUGAAGAAACGACUUGACCUCACAAUUGAUCUCCUCGAAGCUCUCAGAAUUCAGCUCGUCUCCAGCUUGUCCUUCCUCUCAGAGCACCGUACCUUUCUCUUACUCAUGUUUUAAUUUUCUGACUUUGCAUUUGCCUCCGACACCUUGAUCCACUCACUUCCCAAGUUCUCUUUUAAACUCAUUUACCCUCAUGUAGGAGCUAAAUUGGACUCCUUGAGCACUGAAUGGCUAAGUGCACCUGAAAAUUGUAGUAACAGUAACAUUUCCCACAUUUGAUGUUGCAGUUGUCACAUCAGGAAAACGUCUCAAAGCACUUUUCAUAAUAUACUGUUCCAAGUCUGGGUAACUUGGGGAUGAACGAGAGAGAUAACCUUUGUACAAUGACCCAGAAUCAGCCAUCAAAUUGGUGAAAACAUAGAAUCAUGUGAUUUAUUUUGAAGGCGAACAAACAUGUUUCACUAAAUUGCUUUGCAGUGGAUGAAGUUGGUACAACUCCCUAUAUUUGACCAUACAUUAGCCCAUCAAAAGAUGUCAGAGGGAGAUGUACUUUGACUUGGGGAGUAAGGGAUUGAGAUGUCAAGUGGAAAUGAAGGAAACUUACAAUACCAAAUAAUAUGUACUUACAAAGCACAUUUCACAUCAAGAACAUGAUUCAAGGUGAUGUACACGGAAAACUACACUGGGAGACAUUGCCCUGUCCAAUUCCGCUCGGUUUCGUUUAUAUAUCUAGCUUCCUCUUACUUGUUUAAAAUGAUCCAUUCCACACUGAGUGUUUCACAUACAUAAUAAGCAGAUGGUAUUUUUAUCUUUGGUAUAGAGCCUCUCGAACGCAGAGAAUGUCACAAAAUGGGUCAUGUAAUAUAUUGUUAAGUGUAGUUAUUGUGAAUUUGUGUGUGAUUGUAGUGUCUAAUUUACGCAGAACUCUCAACAUAUAUAUUGGAAUGUGCGCGCUCUCAAAGUGAAGCUUCCUCGUCAGCUGUUCUUGGCAUUUCAAUGAUACAUGAUAGUAAUAUAUAUGUGCUUUUGAUAAGCUUUGCUCAAAUUAAAUAGAGUUGUAAUCAUUUUAAUAUUUUAACCCUUUUUAUUCUGUCGAACUGAUUACUAUGCGGUUUUGUGUGUAUUUUACAUGUAAUAUAGCUAAUCUAACUUUUAUAGCUUUGUUUAGAAGAAUGUCUGUUACUAAAUCUGUAAACCAUUUGACGUGAACCAGACACUUGUUUCUGCAACUAAUGGCCUUCAUGUGUCUUUGCUUUCCCGGGAGAGUUUAUUGACAAUUUAGUGAAGUGUCCUUGAUUGAUGCUUGUUACACUUGCUUUGCUUGGUUGGAUAUGUUUCUGAGAAGAAUGAAGGUAAAAGCAGAUGUUUUGCACGAUAAAUGGAAAAAAAAACAAGGAGAUCGUCUAAUAGUGAUAGGAGAUGACUUAUGGGCUGGGUUUUUAUUCAUGCAGAGCUCCGUUAUCUCCUGUUCUUGCUGAUGUGCUCCAGCAGGGAAGGAAUGUUUUGCUGGAUGGUAUCCGUUGGGUGAAAAUCAAGAGGAAGACGGCGGAUUGUAUUGUUGCAACGAGGUUGAUUGGAAAGUGGAAAAGCUGUAUAUGUGAUGCUCACUGACUGGACUCAAGUUGAACAUCCUCCAGAGUGAAGAAGACAAUAUAGACUAAUUGGCAGCAUUAUAUUUCUGUACAUGCACAUCGCUAUAGAAAGGUUUAUUUAAUGCAUUACGAACUGUUUCUGAGAUACAUUAUCUCGGAGUUCGAUAUCUGAUAAUUAACAGUUUAGUUUUAUUGAAGCAGCAGGGAGUUUAUUUACAGUUAAUAUCCGAUUGUUCCAAUUGCUGUCAAAAGCAGCGACUGGUCUUCUCUCGUCCUGUCAAUGAGUCAGGUGAAGUUAUCCUUCAUCAGCACUGUGGAACACCAUGUACCCACCUGGUUCAGUAACAAGAUAACAUUGAGAGAUUGCCUGUAUACAGCAUCUUUCCUGUUGGGAGCACGUCCCAAUUCGCUGAAUGUUCAAGGGUUUGUAUCGGACUGAUGCUUGGGCUUUUUUAAUGGUGGAGAGAAAGGUUGACAGUCAAAGAGUAAGUUUUUGAGUUGGACCUGAAAGGCAGGAAACAAGUGUGUAGGCAAGGACCUGGGAUGGAGUUACAGAAAGUGGGGGCAGAUAGACUGAAAGCCCAAUUUCCAAUGGUGGGUAGGCAAGACAGGGCGGGGACAUUAACCAGGCAAAAGAUGAAAGCGGAUCAGUUCGUAGGGUGAGGGUAGAUUGCACUGGUCAGGUGGGACUAGAUCGCGGACGACUUUAAAAGUAAGGACCUGGGCAUGAUCAGCCGGUACGUGGUGGCUAUGAUCACCUGGGGAUAUGUGCUGACUAUGAUCACUCGGUGGCUAUGAUCAAACCAUUUAAAACAUUGACAAUCGUGCUUUUUCGAAAGGCUUUUUUCAAUAUUGGAUGCUGACAGUUUCACCCCAUUCUCCAGCUCUUUACCCCUCAACGUUGUUUCUUUCUGUUCCAGAUAUUAAUCAAACGCUCUUAAUAUGGAAUACGGAUCUACCUUAGCCAGACAUUCAUGCUGGGAAUUCCACCUCCUAACAACUAUCUGUAUAAAAUCUACAUUUAUCUUUAUUUGAUUUAAAAUUCAAAAUGUUUUGUUUGGAAUGUUUUAAGGGAGUGGACUGUUUCCAUGAAGUUCUGAUGCCUUUCUGAGAAAAACAAAACAUUCUUAUUUUGUUAACGCGCUUACCUUUACCAACUCAGUGGUGCUCAUAAAAAUAUCUAGUUUGAUAAUCUGUAUUAAUUCAGAUGAACGAAAUGAAAAUUAUUACCGAUUUCAGAACAAUGAAAUUAAGUUGCCGAAACAAUAUCUGCCAGUUUCCUCUCUUGCAGUUUAACAGCUGAUAUUUCACUUUGAAAGACAGAAAGAUCUACUACUCCCCCUUUGGCUGGAUGAUGGCUUCCUUAUCUCAUUGCAAUGUCAAAGUCCGUCAAGACAGCAGUGCUGUGGUACUCACACUGUUCAUUACUCAAAACAAAACUAAGCUAUGGACACAAAAACACAAGAUUGGAACAUGCGCUUUAUUUCACACAAUUUUACAAAUAUUUAUUUAAUUCAACAAUGUUCCUGGCUUAAUCAGAAUGUUCCCAGUAAUUAGAAUUACAGUUCAAAUGUCCAUAUUGAGUAAAAAACUAUGGGUAAAUAAUGGAAUAUCUGUCACCAGUUUGAGACAAGAUUCCUCACUCAUUGUCGC